UUUCCUUUUGCCUCAGACUCCCAUAUAGCUUGGCAUAGAACUGGGCAACUGUAAUGAGAGGAGAGGGAAGACAAGGAAGGGUAGGAGCAGUUAGGAAACGGGUGGAAUAAUCGGGGUUCAUAGUAACAGGGGGCAGGACCAAGCUGCUGGCAGCAAGGGUAUGAGGAUGCCAUCUAGCCCUGGAAAUGUUCUGCAGGUAGCACCAACAGAACCACCUACAGAUUAGAUGCAGAGGUCUGAAAAAGGAGAAACAUCAAGGGUAGCUCCAAGGUUUUUGACUUGAGCAAUUUAAAGGGAGAUAAAAUAUAAAAUACCUGAGAGCCAGCACAUAGUAGGUGCUCAAUAAAUGUUGCAUUGUCACUCCCUGUGUGUCUAUAUCCAAGGAUCACAUCUGUGUGUGAGAGAG
Molecule: long non-coding RNA, 406 nt
Filed under: Homo sapiens (human)
Lineage: Eukaryota; Metazoa; Chordata; Mammalia; Primates; Hominidae
Description: non-protein coding lnc-TAOK3-10:1
Source: RNAcentral